RNAcentral lists this ribosomal RNA (500 nucleotides) under uncultured bacterium. Its description in RNAcentral is "partial 16S ribosomal RNA". It matches the Rfam family "Bacterial small subunit ribosomal RNA", at positions 30 to 523 of the family's 1533-position model. The record is from RNAcentral.
AUUGAACGCUGGCGGCAUGCCUUACACAUGCAAGUCGAACGGCAGCACGGGAGCAAUCCUGGUGGCGAGUGGCGAACGGGUGAGUAAAGUAUCGGAACGUGCCCAGUCGUGGGGGAUAACGUAGCGAAAGUUACGCUAAUACCGCAUACGAUCUAUGGAUGAAAGCGGGGGAUCGCAAGACCCCGCGCGAUUGGAGCGGCCGAUAUCAGAUUAGGGAGUUGGUGGGGUAAAGGCUCACCAAGCCGACGAUCUGUAGCUGGUCUGAGAGGACGACCAGCCACACUGGGACUGAGACACGGCCCAGACUCCUACGGGAGGCAGCAGUGGGGAAUUUUGGACAAUGGGCGAAAGCCUGAUCCAGCCAUGCCGCGUGCAGGAUGAAGGCCUUCGGGUUGUAAACUGCUUUUGUACGGAACGAAAAGGUUUGGCCUAAUAAGCUGAGCUCAUGACGGUACCGUAAGAAUAAGCACCGGCUAACUACGUGCCAGCCGCCGCAGUAA